This 253-nucleotide ribosomal RNA is filed under the name uncultured bacterium. RNAcentral describes it as "partial 16S ribosomal RNA". It matches the Rfam family "Bacterial small subunit ribosomal RNA", at positions 524 to 776 of the family's 1533-position model. The record is from RNAcentral.
UACGUAGGGGGCGAGCGUUGUCCGGAUUUAUUGGGCGUAAAGAGCGUGUAGGCGGCCAGGUAGGUCCGUUGUGAAAACUCGAGGCUCAACCUCGAGACGUCGAUGGAAACCAUCUGGCUAGAGUCCGGAAGAGGAGAAUGGAAUUCCUGGUGUAGCGGUGAAAUGCGCAGAUAUCAGGAAGAACACCUAUGGCGAAGGCAGCUCUCUGGGACGGUACUGACGCUGAGACGCGAAAGCGUGGGGAGCGAACAGG